AGAGUUUGAUCAUGGCUCAGAACGAACGCUGGCGGCAGGGCCUCAAACAUGCAAGUCUAGGGGGGUGUAGCAAUACAUCACCGGCGGACGGGUGCGUAACACGUGGGAAUACACCUUUGGUUCGGAACAACGCAGGGAAACCUGCGCUAAUACCGAAUGUGCCCUUACGGGGGAAAGAUUUAUCGCCAAAGGAUUAGCCCGCGUAGGAUUAGCUAGUUGGUGAGGUAAUGGGCUCACCAAGGCUCCGAUCCUUAGCUGUUCUGAGAGGAAGAUCAGCCACACUGGGACUGAGACACGGCCCAGACUCCUACGGGAGGCAGCAGGUUGGGAAUCUUGGACAAUGGGGGAAACCCUGAUCCAGCCAUGCCGCGUGAGUGAUGAAGGCCUUCGGGUUGUAAACUCUUUCGACGGGGACGAUAAUGACGGUACCCGUAGAAGAAGCUCCGGCUAACUUCGUG
Molecule: ribosomal RNA, 458 nt
Filed under: uncultured bacterium
Lineage: Bacteria
Description: bacterial SSU rRNA
Rfam family: Bacterial small subunit ribosomal RNA
Source: RNAcentral